CCCCCCCCCCCCCCCCCCCCCCCCCCCCCCCCCCCCCCCCCCCCCCCCCCCCCCCCCCCCCCCCCCCCCCCCUGAUGCCGCUCUCGGGGCCGGGACACCCCUCCCCGGCCCCCGCGGCACCGAAAAGCCACGCUCGGUGCCGGACCAGACAGCGCUCCCUAAUGAGGGAGCAUUACAAUCAGCUUGUAAUGCUGAAUUUUUAAUGCUGCCCAGGGCUCUGUUACAUAAUAAAGGGGGAACCGGGAGCAGAGGGCGGCCGGUGGGCACGCAGCUGGUGGCCCCGGCCCGGUGGGCACCCCUCGCACCCCCGACCCGCCGCUUACCGCCAGCGCUGCCGGACAGGGCGCGCACGACGCCCAUCGGAGCUCCUGCCCUGCCGGGAGGCUUGCACAAACUUUCCUCAAGUGCGUGGAGGGGUGAUGCCAAAACGCUGGCUCCGCACUCUGCCGCGGCUCGGCCGGGAAAUGAUUUAAAAGCAAAGUUCACGAGCAUGUUAACGGCAUGCUCUCGUAUGUCCCCGCACACACGGGCUGCGCUGCGCCGCUCGGAUUCCUGCACCUUGAGUCGUAUUCGAACUCAAUGUGACCCUAAGGAGGGAGUCACCGAGUCUCCAGAAAAUUGCUCCAUAUUAAACAGAAGCAAGAAGAGGAGAAAGACAGACAGCCGGCGCAGGGGGGACACGGUUGCGUUAGAGUCCAGGACAUAGCGAGAGCAGCCCCGAGCACAGCGGGAGAAAGAAACAGACCUCGCUCGGAACCAAUUUUUGUUUGUUUGUUUGUUUGUUUGUUUUAAAAGAGAAAAAAAAAAGGGGGCCCCCCCCCCCCCCCCCCCCCCCCCCCCCGGGGGGGGGGGCGAGUGAAACUGAAUAAUUUAAAAAAAAAAAAAAAAAAGACAAAGACACAAACGCAACCCGAAUUAUAAAUAAUUCACAGUCCGAAUCCCGCGUGUGCGUGGCACCCACGCACGCCGUGCACAGCCGGGGCACGCUCACAGAGACAGACACAGACACGAUCCCCUCGCAGGCAGCGAGCGGCCCCCCCCCCCCCCCCCCCCCCCCCCCCCCCCCCCCCCCCCCCCCCCCCCCCCCCCCCCCCCCCCCCCCCCCCCCCC
This 1110-nucleotide long non-coding RNA is filed under the name Ficedula albicollis (Collared flycatcher). RNAcentral describes it as "lncRNA (ENSFALG00000027734.1)". The record is from RNAcentral. Lineage: Eukaryota; Metazoa; Chordata; Aves; Passeriformes; Muscicapidae.